UACGAAGGGGGCUAGCGUUGCUCGGAAUCACUGGGCGUAAAGCGCACGUAGGCGGCUUUCUAAGUCAGGGGUGAAAUCCUGGAGCUCAACUCCAGAACUGCCUUUGAUACUGGAGAGCUUGAGUCCGGGAGAGGUGAGUGGAACUCCGAGUGUAGAGGUGAAAUUCGUAGAUAUUCGGAAGAACACCAGUGGCGAAGGCGGCUCACUGGCCCGGUACUGACGCUGAGGAGCGAAAGCGUGGGGAGCGAACAGG
Molecule: ribosomal RNA, 253 nt
Filed under: uncultured bacterium
Lineage: Bacteria
Description: partial 16S ribosomal RNA
Rfam family: Bacterial small subunit ribosomal RNA
Source: RNAcentral